This 84-nucleotide transfer RNA is filed under the name Schistocephalus solidus. It matches the Rfam family "tRNA". From Rfam's summary of the family: Transfer RNA (tRNA) molecules are approximately 80 nucleotides in length. Their secondary structure includes four short double-helical elements and three loops (D, anti-codon, and T loops). The record is from Rfam by way of RNAcentral. Lineage: Eukaryota; Metazoa; Platyhelminthes; Cestoda; Diphyllobothriidea; Diphyllobothriidae.
GGCCAUGUAGCUCAGUUGGCUAGAGCAUUUGGCUGUACUAAAGCCUUCCCCUUGCUGGCAUGGAUUCAAAUCCCAACGCGGCCG